This 805-nucleotide long non-coding RNA is filed under the name Gallus gallus (chicken). The record is from RNAcentral. Lineage: Eukaryota; Metazoa; Chordata; Aves; Galliformes; Phasianidae.
UUCUUGCUGGCCAGCAUGGCCCUCUCAUUCCGGCGAAACUUGGCCCUCCGGUUCUGGAACCACACCUGAACUCUGGCUUCAGUGAGGUUGACUCUGCGUGCAAGGUCUUCCCGUACAAAGGCAUCGGGGUAGUGUGUCCUCUCAAAGACCCUCUCUAGUGCCUGGAGCUGGCUGCUGUUGAAGGUAGUCCUGUUCCUUCUCUGCUUCCUUUUCUUCUUCUCUUCUGAAUUCAGCUGAUCAUUGUCCUGCUGCGGGGUGUCGCUGCCGCUGGUCAGCCCGGGGGACUCCAACAAGCUCCGGCCGGGCUCGCCGCCGCCCUCGUCCCCCUGCGCGGCCACCAUGUCGCCCGCCUCCUCCAGGUCCAGCAGGUGACUCACGGAAAAGUUCUUCUUGGCUUGUAAAUUGUCCAGGCCGGCGGGGCCGUCGAGGCGGGCUGGCAGCAGGGCCUGCCUCUCCAUGGCGUGGGCAUAGCUGGACGCCAUGGUGCCGAGCGGGGGCUUUUCUGCCCUCGCCCCCCCGGCGCCCACCGCCCCCGCUCCCCCCCCAGCCGCCGGCCCUUCGAGGGGGGAAGCGCACGGCCCGAGGGCGGGGGGAACGGGGACCCGACGGCGGUGGGGCGGCUGGAAGGAAAGCCCAACGGAGAGCUGCUAGGGCCGGCCUUAAAACAUGCCGGAGGGGAGAGAGAGGCCGGCUCGGGGCGCCAGGAGCUGCCGCCGGCCGGGAGGAGAACGGUGGCUGUGGGGCGGCUGGGGCGGGUGCGCCCCGUCCCUCCGCCUCCCCGCCCGGCCGCUCCGCUCCCCUCCCU